UGCUUCAAUUGCCGGCGACCGGCGCACGGGUGAGUAACGCGUAUCAACCUUCCGUACACUCAGGGAUAGCCUUUCGAAAGAAAGAUAAUACCUGAUGGUAUGAUGAGAUUGCAUGAUAGCAUCAUUAAAGAUUUAUCGGUGUACGAUGGGGAUGCGUUCCAUUAGGUAGUAAGCGGGGUAACGGCCCACCUAGCCAACGAUGGAUAGGGGUUCUGAGAGGAAGGUCCCCCACAUUGGAACUGAGACACGGUCCAAACUCCUACGGGAGGCAGCAGUGAGGAAUAUUGGUCAAUGGACGAGAGUCUGAACCAGCCAAGUAGCGUGAAGGAUGAAGGUCUUACGGAUUGUAAACUUCUUUUAUAAGGGAAUAAACCCUCCCACGUGUGGGAGCUUGUAUGUACCUUAUGAAUAAGCAUCGGCUAACUCCGUGCCAGCAGCCGCGGUAAUACGGAGGAUGCGAGCGUUAUCCGGAUUUAUUGGGUUUAAAGGGAGCGCAGACGGGUCGUUAAGUCAGCUGUGAAAGUUUGGGGCUCAACCUUAAAAUUGCAGUUGAUACUGGCGUCCUUGAGUGCGGUUGAGGUGUGCGGAAUUCGUGGUGUAGCGGUGAAAUGCUUAGAUAUCACGAAGAACUCCGAUUGCGAA
RNAcentral lists this ribosomal RNA (642 nucleotides) under uncultured Bacteroidales bacterium. RNAcentral describes it as "bacterial SSU rRNA". It matches the Rfam family "Bacterial small subunit ribosomal RNA", at positions 77 to 719 of the family's 1533-position model. Lineage: Bacteria; Pseudomonadati; Bacteroidota; Bacteroidia; Bacteroidales. The record is from RNAcentral.